CAUAUCAAUAAGCGGAGGAAAAGAAACUAACAAAGGAUUUCCCCUAGUAACUGCGAGUGAAGCGGGAAAAGCUCAAAUUUAAAAUCUGGCAGCCUUUGGUUGUCCGAGUUGUAAUCUAGAGAAGUGUUAUCCGCGCUGGACCGUGUACAAGUCUCCUGGAAUGGAGCGUCAUAGAGGGUGAGAAUCCCGUCUUUGACACGGACUGCCAGGGCUUUGUGAUGCGCUCUCAAAGAGUCGAGUUGUUUGGGAAUGCAGCUCAAAAUGGGUGGUAAAUUCCAUCUAAAGCUAAAUAUUGGCGAGAGACCGAUAGCGAACAAGUACCGUGAGGGAAAGAUGAAAAGAACUUUGGAAAGAGAGUUAAACAGUACGUGAAAUUGCUGAAAGGGAAACGCUUGAAGUCAGUCGCGUUGUCCAGGGAUCAACCUUGCUUUUGCUUGGUGCAUUUUCUGGUUGACGGGUCAGCAUCAAUUUUGACCAUUGGAAAAAGAUUAGGGGAAUGUGGCAUCUUCGGAUGUGUUAUAGCCCUUGGUUGCAUACAAUGGUUGGGAUUGAGGAACUCAGCACGCCGCAAGGCCGGGUUUUUAACCACGUACGUGCUUAGGAUGCUGGCAUAAUGGCUUUAAUCGACCCGUCUUGAAACACGGACCAAGGAGUCUAACAUGCCUGCGAGUGUUUGGGUGGAAAACCCGAGCGCGUAAUGAAAGUGAAAGUUGAGAUCCCUGUCGUGGGGAGCAUCGACGCCCGGACCAGACCUUUUGUGACGGCUCCGCGGUAGAGCAUGUAUGUUGGGACCCGAAAGAUGGUGAACUAUGCCUGAAUAGGGUGAAGCCAGAGGAAACUCUGGUGGAGGCUCGUAGCGAUUCUGACGUGCAAAUCGAUCGUCAAAUUUGGGUAUAGGGGCGAAAGACUAAUUCGAACCAU
Molecule: ribosomal RNA, 921 nt
Filed under: Cortinarius waiporianus
Lineage: Eukaryota; Fungi; Basidiomycota; Agaricomycetes; Agaricales; Cortinariaceae
Description: partial large subunit ribosomal RNA
Rfam family: Eukaryotic large subunit ribosomal RNA
Source: RNAcentral